Molecule: ribosomal RNA, 832 nt
Filed under: uncultured bacterium
Lineage: Bacteria
Description: bacterial SSU rRNA
Rfam family: Bacterial small subunit ribosomal RNA
Source: RNAcentral
CAUGGCGCGGCUACACAUGCAGUCGAGCGGAACGAGUUAUCUGAACCUUCGGGGAACGAUAACGGCGUCGAGCGGCGGACGGGUGAGUAAUGCCUAGGAAAUUGCCCUGAUGUGGGGGAUAACCAUUGGAAACGAUGGCUAAUACCGCAUGAUGCCUACGGGCCAAAGAGGGGGACCUUCGGGCCUCUCGCGUCAGGAUAUGCCUAGGUGGGAUUAGCUAGUUGGUGAGGUAAGGGCUCACCAAGGCGACGAUCCCUAGCUGGUCUGAGAGGAUGAUCAGCCACACUGGAACUGAGACACGGUCCAGACUCCUACGGGAGGCAGCAGUGGGGAAUAUUGCACAAUGGGCGCAAGCCUGAUGCAGCCAUGCCGCGUGUGUGAAGAAGGCCUUCGGGUUGUAAAGCACUUUCAGUCGUGAGGAAGGUAGUGUAGUUAAUAGCUGCAUUAUUUGACGUUAGCGACAGAAGAAGCACCGGCUAACUCCGUGCCAGCAGCCGCGGUAAUACGGAGGGUGCGAGCGUUAAUCGGAAUUACUGGGCGUAAAGCGCAUGCAGGUGGUUUGUUAAGUCAGAUGUGAAAGCCCGGGGCUCAACCUCGGAAUAGCAUUUGAAACUGGCAGACUAGAGUACUGUAGAGGGGGGGUAGAAUUUCAGGUGUAGCGGUGAAAUGCGUAGAGAUCUGAAGGAAUACCGGUGGCGAAGGCGGCCCCCUGGACAGAUACUGACACUCAGAUGCGAAAGCGUGGGGAGCAAACAGGAUUAGAUACCCUGCUAGUCCACGCCGUAAACGAUGUCUACUUGGAGGUUGUGGGCCUUGAGCCGUGGCUUUCGGA